AUGGAAAAAUGUGGGAUCCGCAAAUACCGUAUUAUGGAUAUUUUGUGCUUUCAAUACGGUGGAUUUGAUAAGGUUGGAUGCAUAAAGAGGGACGUUUAUAAUUUCUGCCAUGCUAAUAAGCAGGAGACAAUCAGUGCCGGUGAUGCUAAUACGGUGAUCAUGCACAUGAUGGCGAGGCGAGAGCGAGAUGUGGAUUUUUUCUUCAAGUACUUGGUAGACGAGCAUGGCCAUCUGAAGGGACUGUUCUGGGCCGAUAGUCAGUCGCGACUUGACUACGAGGCUUUCGAAGACGUCAUUGUUUUCGAUAGCACAUACAGAACCAACAAAUACAAUCUGCCAUUCGUGCCGUUUGUCGGGUUGAAUCACCACCGUAGCACUGUUAUUUUUGGCUGUGGUAUAAUUUCUCAUGAAACAAGCCAGGCAUACGAGUGGAUGUUGCGGAACUUUUCUGAUUGCAUGGCACAGAAGCAUCCAAUAUCUGUGAUCACAGAUGGGGACCUUGCAAUGCAGAGAGCAAUAAGGGUGGUUUGGCCAAACUCAAACCAUAGACUAUGUAUAUGGCACAUUCAGCAGAACAUUGUACGCCAUCUGCAUGAUGACGAUGUAAAGGAGGAAUUCAGAUCUUUCAUUUAUGAUACUUCUUCCAUUGAAGAGCAUGAGAUAAAAUGGAUACAAUUCUUAUAA
Molecule: ribosomal RNA, 684 nt
Filed under: Triticum aestivum (bread wheat)
Lineage: Eukaryota; Viridiplantae; Streptophyta; Magnoliopsida; Poales; Poaceae
Description: partial small subunit ribosomal RNA
Source: RNAcentral